AACGAACGCUGGCGGCAUGCCUAACACAUGCAAGUCGAACGAGACCUUCGGGUCUAGUGGCGCACGGGUUCGUAACGCGUGGGAACCUGCCCUUAGGUUCGGAAUAACUCCCCGAAAGGGGUGAUAAUACCGGAUAAUGUCUUCGGACCAAAGAUUUAUUGCCUUUGGAUGGGCCCGCGUUGGAUUAGCUAGUUGGUAGGGUAAAAGCCUACCAAGGCGACGAUCCAUAGCUGGUCUGAGAGGAUGAUCAGCCACACUGGGACUGAGACACGGCCCAGACUCCUACGGAAGGCAGCAGUGCGUAAUAUUGGACAAUGGGCGAAAUCCUGAUCCAGCAAUGCCGCUUGAGUGAUGAAGUCCUUAGAGUUGUAAAGCUCUUUUACCCGGGAUGAUAAUGACAGUACCGGGAGAAUAAGCCCCGGCUAACUCCGUG
This 433-nucleotide ribosomal RNA is filed under the name uncultured bacterium. RNAcentral describes it as "partial 16S ribosomal RNA". It matches the Rfam family "Bacterial small subunit ribosomal RNA", at positions 29 to 507 of the family's 1533-position model. The record is from RNAcentral.